This 721-nucleotide unclassified non-coding RNA is filed under the name Hevea brasiliensis (rubber tree). The record is from RNAcentral. Lineage: Eukaryota; Viridiplantae; Streptophyta; Magnoliopsida; Malpighiales; Euphorbiaceae.
CAAAGAAAACUAUCAACAAUGUCAAGUGAGCAAUUCACCAAAAAUCCGUAUUCUAUAUGCAAGGUAGCAAUAGUACCAAAGAGCGGAGGAUCUGAGUUUUUUCUCAUGUCUUUUGGUAUAACUAUUCCACGCGGGAACAAACAUUGUAAAUUAAUAGACUUCGAUUGCUUGAAGUUUCCAAGAAAUUUCAUGAGCAUACAGUACCAAUGACUAUCAAAUUUAUCUCCACCUACGCAGAAUUCGAGUACAAGUUCUAGCAAAACUGAAGCUUUCAUAAGUUUGAAUGUUGGCAAUUUAACACUACACUCAUAUGUGAAGCUAGUUAAAUUAGGAGUAUGCAAUUCAAUGUCAAUCAAGUCUAAGCACCGUGAUAGUGAAAGAUACUUGAGUCGGUCACUUGAGAUCUUGACUUUCUGCAAUUUUAAGCAACCCCUUAAGUGAAAUUCUUCAAGGUUGGGUUGAUUACAAAGAAGGUCUUUUAGCCAUCCAUCAGUGACAAACAAAUUGACGAGACACAAAUACUUCAAGGUUUUUCCACAAGUUAUUUUAACUACUUGUAGCAUCCAACGACAACUUUCAAUGUAAAGAUUUUCAAGAUUUGGUGCUACAAUAUCAACCAUCGUUAGUUCAGCAAGACAACAUAGCAAAACCGUCUUUAGUUUUAGUAAAUUCCUUGCGAUUUGUAAACUGCCUAGUCCCUGACAACUAGCUAACCUUAAAU